RNAcentral lists this long non-coding RNA (11729 nucleotides) under Malus domestica (apple). RNAcentral describes it as "long non-coding RNA (MDOM_LNC002352)". Lineage: Eukaryota; Viridiplantae; Streptophyta; Magnoliopsida; Rosales; Rosaceae. The record is from RNAcentral.
CCUCUAGACCACUUCUUUGUAUAUAUGUAGUCGAUAACCUCGGCACGGGUAAAAUCUGCAUCCAACUUCUUAUCUUCCUUACUGUUCAGGACAUCAGGUAUUCCAUCAACUAACCCUAGUAGUUGAUAGUACUUUGCCUCCUUAACAAGUUCUGCAUAUUGGGAAGCUUCUAAUUUAGGAACCUCACCGUCUCUUAACCAGUUAAGAAUGUGCCGAAAAUGUUCGCCAUCCCUAUCGAUAAAAACAUAUCCCUUCUUAUCUUGGCGCAAAGUGUGUCGACCGCUAAACAUUGCAGCAAGCAUGGAGUCGGGUUGACGCUGAGUUAGAGUACCGACGGUGGUGGAAAACUUCUUUCCUCCCACAUUGAGGUGAACCAAGGAUGAAGAAUCACAGUCCUCUGCCAUUGCUUGGACACUUCGAGAGAUGAAUGAUACAGGAAAUCAAGAGUAUAAACUGGAAAACUUGUCCGCUGCAAAGAAUAACAACAAAAGAGAAAGAACCAUUACGAAGCAACAACUAACAGAGAAAUAUCAGGACUGAAAAAGGAUCUCUUAUAAAACUAAACGCAUUUAUAAGAGUUGAAAAUCGAAGCUCAUAGGGUUGGUGAACAUAUUCAAUACCAGGGCGAAAUACGAAGAGUCGAAAAUCGUAUGUAUUCUCUCUUAGUUAUGUCAUAACAUAAUUGGGGAGAAGUUUAAAUGUUUAAGCGUCCAACCGAUUUUGUCAUGACACUUGGUAUACCGGAUCGUAUUUCCAAUGCAUUGAAAAAUCUCUCAUUCUACAACCUCACUUCUAAACCAAUUUAAUUAUCUUCCACUCUUUCAAACUAAAAGAAAGCCACUCCUUCAUAUAUUUACUCACGUAACUUCCAAAUAAAAUCUCAUUUAGUUUCUGUUAAACCCAAUAAGUAUAAUAAGAACGAAAAAAUUCACCAUUUCAAAACCAACCCACCACAAAUCUGCCCCUACAUCGAAAAUUAACCAAAAAAACAGUUCACACAAAUAGCAUAGCCUCAUAAAAUCAAGAGGGAGUUAAAUCAAGGCUAGGGUUUUCAUAUUUUUACCCCAAUACCACCGAAACUGGUCUUCGACGCCUAAAAUUUACUGCCACGAUCUCAGUUCGACGCCAUCAGCUCGAAAUCUCGACAUAUAUUACACGAAUCGGAUUACAAACAAGAAUAUAAAGUUAACCCAAAUCUGUAUGUGACGAAUUCAAGGAACCACUUACAUAGAAAUGAAACCCAUGAGAAAAGGAUUAAACUUAUCUCUUGGCUUUGUUGGAGUUUUGAGCUCCUUUAGUCCCACAUCGGGGAACUCAAGGGAACUUGGGGUCCUUAUAUUAAGUUAGUCACCUAUAUUAGUGAUUAGGUGUUGAACUAUUUGGAAUGAGGAUUGAGGUUUUGGCCACUAAUUGUGUGGAUUAAGCUUGAUGAUUAUACCAUAAUAGACAAGACCUUGGCCUUGGGGCCUAAGAAGUUAAAAUUAAUCAGAAUUCAUUAAUUGUAAUUUUGAAUUAAAUUAAUUAAAAACGUUUUGACACAAAGUUGUGUGGUUUUAGAUACAUUCAAAAGGUAUUUAAGGAGGUAUGAAAGAGCCUAUAUAACUAAAGUCUCAAUUCCUUCGUAAGUCAUCUUUCAUUUUCCCAUCUCUUCCGUACAAAACCUUACAGAAAGUAAACAUACAAAGCAAUUCGCCAUAAUUCUAUAAUCCGGUGCGGGUUGUAGAAUUAGAUAGUUGUAUGUUGGUCGGGCAGACUUCGUAGAACCACAAGCAUAAGAGUGAGACGGAAAUAUUGUUCGAAAGACAUAGCUUUUGCACUAGUCUCUAUCUGUGAUUCAACCAAGUUAGUAUCAAUUUAAUUCUUGUUUAUUUCGGUUAUUUCAUUUUGUAUUGCAAGUAUAUUUCGUUAAUAAAGAAUUAGUAUUUCAAUUAUGUUAUUUUAUUUAUUUUCUGAAAUGUUCUCCAACAGGCUUAAGGUUCCAAGGAUUUUGGCCGGAAUUUGGAGUUUUCCGACGAGAUUUGCUCUUCUUCUUGCCUUUCUUUUGCCUUGUGUGGUGAUUGGACAGAAUCUGCCUUUUUUCUUUCCACUUUCCUUUCCUUCAUCGUAAAGCAUAAAACAUUUAUUCUACAUGAGAAAUAUUUCAGUGUACCAGGAACACAGCUUGGAGUGUCAUGACAUAAUUGGGGAGGAAGUUUAAUUGUUUUUAUGUUCCUCCAAUUAUGUCAUUACACUUGGCAUACGGCCGUAUUCCCGUUACACUGAAACAUCACUCCUUCUACACCUCACUUCUAAACCAAUUCAAUUGUCUUCCACUCUAUGCUAUUUUGGCAACGCAUAUUGGGGAACCUAGGUGGAAUGAUCGACUUGUCUGGCCAUCUACCAAGAUUGGUAUGUAUUCGGUUAGGUUCGGAUACCAUUGGGCACGGUAUUCGGUUUGGAAAUUAAAAACCCCACCAAAGCUUCGUAACUUUAUAUGGCGCACAUUACAUGGAGCUCUGGCAAUGAUGGAGAAUUUAUUCAAAAGGAAAUGUUCCCCCUCCCCGAUGUGUCCGAUAUGCAACUGUUAUGAGGAGUCUAUUGAGCACCACCUGUUAUUAUGCUAUUAUGCCCAUGGGUGGAGACUAUUUGGUUUGGUGGGGUGCUCAAUUAUAAGGUGGACAGACAUAGGAUUACUUCUUGGGCGGCUUGGCUUCAUUACAUUGCAUCGCGGCAGUUUGGGUCUAAGGAGGAUCAAGGGUUUGUGCUUUCGCAUGUGGCAUUUACUUGUUGGUAUAUUUGGAAAGCGAGGUCCAACUUUCUAUUCAACCAAUAAGCACUCGAUCCUACCCAGGUGCUCCUUGCUAUCUCAAAUUAUUCUGCUGUUUUCAAUGAAGCUAAUCGGGCUCCUCCUCCAUUAAUGAAUGUAUCACGCACGGUUGCUCCUGUGGCACAUUGGUCUCCCUCUUUUUCUCCCUAUCUGAAAGUGAAUGUAGAUGCUAGUUGGCAGAAGUCGACAAGGAAUGGUUAUGUUGGGGUUGUGAUACGUGAUGUGGAGGGUCAGUUUGUGGCUGCAGCUCGGUAUGCAAUCCAGACUCCUAAUGUUGUAUCGGCGGAGGCCAUGGCUAUUUUACGAGGAUGUGAGCUGGCUAUUGCUUUGGGCCAUCAGUGGGUGAUUGUGGAAUCCGAUUCUAAGGAGUUGAUUUCUAGCUUAUCAAGUUCGUUGGACAAUGGCAGAUGGGAAGCCUUUCCUACCUUGGCAAAUGUUCUAAGGUUACAAGAGUCUUUCCAGGGAUGUCGCUGGUCUUGGGUGCCAAGAUCGGCCAAUUUGGCUGCGGACAGGUUGGCGUCGCACAGCAAUACGGACAUGUGCAAUGUCAUAUAGGUCAAUAGACCUCCAUCUUCGUUGGUUUUUGUUUUAAAUAAUGAUAUGGAUUACCUUGUCCACCUUAGACUUUUAUUGUAAUGGAGGGGGCGAUGCUCGAACUCUGUUCUAGCAUCUUCACUCCUUACUCCCUUCGCUGCUUGGUUUUUUAUUGGUCAGUUGUUGCUUGCCUCGGUGUAGGCUUCCUGUAAUGUUGUGACAUCCUUGCCCUGAUAAUUUUAUUCCCAGUUUCCCAAAAAAAAAAAAAAACGAAAAGAAAGCCACUCCUUCAUAUACUUACUCGUGUAACUUCCAAAUAAAAUCCCAUUUAGUUUCUGAAGCAUAAUAUUCACUUUAAGAACGAAAAAAAUUCAACAUUUCAAAACUAACCCACCACAAAUCUGCUCCUACUUCAAAAAUUAACCAAACACCUUCAAUUCCAAUUACUUUUCACUUACUCUUCAACGAAAAACACUUCACACAAAUAACAUAGCCUCAUAAAAUCAAGGGGGAUUUAAAUCAAGGCCAAGGUUUUCAGAUUUUUACCCCAAUAUCUCCAAAACUGGUCUUCGAAGCCUAAAACUUUACCCGUGCACCAAAUUUUAAUUUUAAUCCGUUUGCACUCACGCAUUCGUGACGACAAGUACUACAGGAAUUUGCUUACAUAAGUUAUAAGUGUCACGCCAUCAUGGUCAAUGAAAGUCAACAUUCAUCCAAUUAGAGGCAUUUUGUCAUUUACCACAUUUGGGAAUUAAAAUACCAUAAAAUUGAGGAAGGGUUGUAACACUAAAUGUUUAUUUGUCAUUUUCAGGACUGACACAAAAGAUAGAUACCUUAUCAUUGAAUGGAUGUUGUGACUAAAAGUUAGGAUUUGGUUUAAUAUUCUAAUAACAAGGUAUAUUAGAACCAAACCAGCCAUAUAAUACACAUAUAUGAUUACCUUUCGGUCAUUGCGGUAAUCAUUUGUAGUAUACGUCGAUAGUAAAAUCCUUUCAAAGACCUUAAAAUCCUUUCAAAGACCUACUUGUAAUAACGAACUUGCAAAAUAGUGACCAAUGAAUUAGAGGUACACCAUUGUGGUAGGUCACAAAAAGCCAAACAUAGGACAAGUCAUAUUAUACAUACAUCAACCCUUUGCAAGUGGUUUAAAUUAAAGAAAAUAAAAAUUAGAUUCCAAUAGCAUCCCUAAAGCACUUCUAACAUGAUCGACAUUGUCGAGGAUAACUUUCAGUACCUACAAUCUUCCACGCAAGAUGCCCCAACGAGAUCGUAGUUUUUAGCUCCCACAAAAGAAGCUCCUCGAAGAUUUGCAUGAUAAAAAGUAGAACUACGCAAAUUUGCACUGUCAAAGGUAGCACCUUCAGCAUCAGCGUAGUUGAAAUUAGAAUCAUUAAUAUUUGCACCUGAAAAACACACGUGUCUCAAGCAUGCAUAGCUGAAGUCAACAUAUGACAGGUCCAGUUUUGAAAGAUUAAGGCCAGAAAGAUUAACCCCUCGAAAACAAGGCUUAGACACACACACAUCCAUGCGUCCAGACCACUUCAUUGAAUAUAUGUAGUUGAUAACCUCGGCACGGGUAAAUCUGCAUCCAACUUCUUAUCUUCCUUACUGUUCAGGACAUCAGGUAUUCCAUCAACUAACCCUAGUAGUUGAUAGUACCUUGCCUCCUUAACAAGUUCUGCAUAUUGGGAAGCUUCUAAUUUAGGAAUCUCACCGUCUCUUAACCAGUUAAGAAUGUGCCGAAAAUAUUUGCCAUCCCUAUCGAUAAAAACAUAUCCCUCCUUAUCUUGGCGCAAAGUGUGUCGACCGCUAAACAUUGCAGCAAGCAUGGAGUCGGGUUGACGCUGAGUUAGAGUACCGACGGUGGUGGAAAACUUCUUUCCUCCCACAUUGAGGUGAACCAAAGAUGAAGAAUCACAGUCCUCUGCCAUUGCUUGGAAACUUUGAGAGAUGAACUGAUACAGGAAAUCAAGAGUAUAACUGGAAAACUUCUCCACUGCAAAGAAUAACAAAAGAGAAAGAACCAUUACGAAGCAACAACUAACAGAUAAAUAUCAGGACAGGAAAAGGAUCUAUAAUAAAACUAAACGCAUUUAUAAGAGUUGAAAAUCGAAGCUCAUAUGGUUGGUGAACCUUUUCAAGGGCGAAAUACGAAGAGUCGAAAAUCGUACGUAUUCUCUCUUAGUUAUGUCAUAACAUAAUUGAGGAGAAGUUUAAAUGUUUAAGCGUCCAACCAAUUAAUUAUAUCAAGACAUUUGGUGUGUCGGACUGUGUUUCCAGUGCACUGAAAAAAUCUCUCUUUCUACACCUCACUUCUAAACGAAUUCAAUUAUCUUCCACUCUUUCGAACUAAAAGAAAGCCACUCCUUCAUAUAUUUACUCACGUAACUUCCAAAUAAAAUCUCAUUUAGUUUCUGUUAAACCCAACAAGUAUAAUAAGAACGAAAAAAUUCACCAUUUCAAAACCAACCCACCACAAAUUUGCCCCUACUUAAAAAAUUAACCAAAAAAACAGUUCACACAAAUAGCAUAGCCUCAUAAAAUCAAGAGGGAGUUAAAUCAAGGCUAGGGUUUUCAGAUUUUUACCCCAAUAGCUCCAAAACUGGUCUUCAACGCCUAAAAUUUACUGCCACGAUCUCAGUUCGAAGCCAUCAGCUCGAAACCUCGACAUAUAUUACACGAAUCGGAUUACAAACAAGAAUAUAAAGUUAACCCAAAAGAUGUAACUGAUUAAAGUCUGAUACUUUAGGCUGCUUUAAGUCCAUGUGUGAAUCUCCUUUUCUUCCUUUGUGCUUUUCUCAGUCAGUCUUCUUCUUUUAUUGCUUUCUUUGUUAUUAAGCAUUCCAGAAGGAUUUUAAAUCAAGUUUGAUUAAUAUGCAGCUGAACCGCACUUAUAAUUUUAUUGCUUUCUUUGUUAUCGUCGUUUAAGUGCUUUCCUGUUCACUUUUUAACAAGAUUCAUAGGGUUAACUUUAAUGUUUAUCUUCACUGUUUAACCUCAUGGUGGUGGGAUGAUUAAUAAAAGGGAUACUUUAGAUGCAAUCCCUAAUCCUUAACAUUCUUUGACUAAAACCUUAAUGAUAUUCAACAUUUGAUCAAAAUCCCUUGACUUUGUACACCUCAUUAUAUUACAAGUACAAUUAAUAUUUAUAUUUUUAUAGUUUUGACAUUAAUUGUUUGAUAUUUUAUGAGAUUUAUAAUCCUAUAAAUUUAAAAUCCCUCAUUAUAAUACUAUUAGAAACAGUUACAAUAAAAAAAAUUCAAACAUUUUGAUUGAAUAAAUGGAUAAAAACUAUGUAAAAAUAAGAAAUAAUAAAUGGCAAAAGAAUGUAACUAUAGUGUUAAAAAAAAUGGUACAUUUUACAAAAACAAUUGGUACAUUUCACAUAUAACAAAGCGGUACAUUAAUAAAGAAGAAUGAGUACAUUAUAAAUCAAUUAGGGUACAGAUAAAAGAUAAAAAAAUUAUGAGUACAAAUGAAUUUUUAAAAAAUAUAGGCGCUAAAAGAAAUUAAUACAUGGGUACAAAAUAAAACUAAAAAGAAAAUACUAAAAAUUUAAAAAAAUGUUGCAAAUUAAAAGUGGGUACAAACUAAAAAUAUAAAUAUAUGAUACAAAGUUUAGGCAUAAAACAUAAAUAUACCAUAUGUAAUUUUUCUAUCAUUGAUUAAAUAUACAAUGUCAUGUGACGGUGUACACAUGGGUACAAACACAAAUAAAACUUUAAAAAAUAUGGGCACAAAAAGAAACUAAUAUAUGGGUACAAAUUAAAAAUAAAAAGAAAAUUGGUACAAAUUAAAAAUAGGUACAAACUAAAAUAUAUGAUAAAAAAUUUAGCCAUAAAUAUAAAUAUACUAAUUUUAACAUUUUUAACACUAAAGGAAUAUAUUUAAAAAUAAAAAUAUUUUAUUUUUCAAAGAAUUAAUGAUGUUAUUAAUACCCAAGGAUAUUGAUCAAAAAUUGAAAAUGAAUAGGAUUUUAAUCAAUGAAGUAGCAAAAAGAAUGAUAUGAACCUAACUUCUCCUUAAUAAAAUAAAAGACCUUAAUUGCGAACUUUAGCAUUUGGAAGAUGUUGACUAUUGGUUUUUUUCCCCCAAUUUUGUAUAGGACGUAGAAUCUGUUUGUAUUUUUGAUAUAGGGCCAAGGCACUGUUAAUUUUAGCACUUGGAAGAUACUGUUAACAACUCAACUAUUUGAAUCAAAUAAGCCCAGAUUAUGCACUGCAGAUAGAGUCCGCAGACUCAUAUUUCAAUUGUUUUUUAAAUUUGUCCCGGCUAAAAAAAAUGUCAAAUUAUGUUAAUUAAGAGACUAUGAAGUAUGAACCAUUGAAAACUCAACAUUAAUAUAACAAGGAGAAUGCUAGCCAUUGCAAAUUAUGUUAGUUAAGAAAUUGUGCCUUCAGGGAUCAUUACUUGAUUGAAUCUUAUAUGGAGGAGCACAUCACUAGAAAGAAAAGAUCAUUGUUUAACAACAUAUACAUACACAUCACAUAUACAUGUGUUCAAUCCUUUUCUCUGCUAAUUUAUUUUGAAUGCUUUAAUAGGUUUUCUUCAAUCCUGAGAUUUAUAGCACCGACUGCACCACUCCAUUACCCAUUGUAAUUGACAAGUGUAUUUGGUCUACUUCAAUUGACACUAGGAGGUCUUUGUAUAAGGUGAAGUUGGCCUUGAAAUGAGCUUAAGGAGAUCGGUCCUCGGUUUGAAUUAAGGCUUUUUAAGGUUAGUACUAUAUCUUCAUUGUUGAGAAAUUUGUGCUUCUUGCAAGGAUAUAGUUAGAUAUGAAUAAAUAUGAAUUCUCUUUAUGACUAGAUAUGAAUUCUCUUUAAUUGUUUCCUCUUAAGAAAUGCCAUUUAGCAUGAAUAGAUUUAAAAUAUAAUGUUGUGCUUACUUUGCACAUAUUGAAUAUGUUAUUGCAUUUGAAUUGGAUAUGUGAUUUAUUGAAUUGGAAUUUGGAUAUAUGUUGAACUGUGGUUGUGAUAUAUUAAUGUGCAUUGUUAUUAUAUUUGUUAGGAUGGACGGGUGUAGUAGCCAAUCUAGUACACCUAUGGUCUCAGUAUUAGGAAAACGAAAACAUAUCCAACCUAGUGGUACUCUUCAACUAGGCACUCCUUCACCUCAAGAUUAUCUGCAUGAUGAUUAUUUUGAAGAUUGUUAGGAUGAUGAUCCAAAUGUGGAGGAGGAUAUUGCAUUAGAACAAGUAGAAGAACACAGAGAAGAGGGGAAAAGGAAGUAGAAGUAGUGAGAGAAUGGGAAGGUCCUCCUCGGAAAAAGGGCAAUAGGAGAAGGGGCCCAAGUCCGACGUGGAACGAUGCUAAGAGGGUAACUAUCACCAAUAAUAAAGGGGUGGAAUCGUACAUGGCCGAAUGCAUGCAUUGCAAACUCUUAGCAUCGGCACACUCUAGAAUUCAUGGGACGGAAGGAAUUCUUAAGCAUUUGAAGAAAUGUCGUGGUUCUAUUCUCCUUCAGAGUGUGGAUCCGAACCAACCAACAUUGACACAAGCGAGAAUGGGAGGUCUAGUUGUCACUCACACUUUCAAUCAAAAAAGACUUGAUAUGAGAUGUGUGAGGUGGAUUAUAAUAACGGAGAUGCCUUUCAGGGUGGUCGAUCAAGGGGAUUUUCGAGAUUUUAUUCAUGACUUGAAUCCAAAGUACAAACUUUCUAAUAGGCAUAAGGUGCCAGCGACGGUUUUGGAGUUGUGUUACGAAGAAAAGGCAAAAAUAAAAAGUAUGAUUGAAGGGUUGAGAGUGAGUAUCACAACCGAUACUUGGACCUCGAUCCAAAAGAUCAACUACAUGGUCAUCACGACCCAUUUUUUGGACACUAAUUGGGCAUUGCAUAAGAGGAUCCUAAACUUUGUCCAAGUUACUUCUCACAUGGGGUGAUGACAUUGGAAGGUGUCUAGAGGUUUGCUUGAAUGAUUGGGGCAUGGACAAGGUGUUUAGCAUUACCGUUGACAAUGCUAGUGCAAAUGACACUGCUAUUGCAUACAUAAAAAGAAGACUCAAGUCAAAUGGUACUCUUUUACUCGAAGGGGCUCACUUGCACAUGAGGUGCGCUUGUCACAUCCUUAAUUUGAUAGUUAAGGAUGGAAUGACGGACCUUAGUUGUGAGAUUGAUGUCAUAAGAAAUUGUGUGAAGUUUAUACACUCAUCCCCGGCAAAGUUGGAGUUUUUAGGGAAUAUUGUGUCUUGUUGAGACUUGAUGGGACGUCAAGUAUCAUUUUUUAUGUUGUCACAAGGUGGAAUGCCACCUAUGAAAUGCUUAAUAGUGCUUUCAAGUUUAAAGAAGUGUUCUCUAAGAUGGCCUUUGAGUGUGACUCUUUUAUUGCUUACUUUAAAGAUGAGGUCUCGAAAGAGGUUGAUGGGGUGACAAUAAAUGCCAAGAGGGUGGGUCCUCCGGAGGUGGAUGAUUGGGAGAGGUUGGUGAGUUUUGCUCACUUUCUCAAAAACUUUUAUGAUGCCACCUUGACAUUGAGUGCAACUCUUACUCCAACGUCAUACUUAAAACUUAGCACGGUGAUUGCUUUGCAAUUGGAGAUAGAAGAACAAAUUUUAAACACCUCUAAUGCCACUUUGCAAAGUGUGGCUACCUCAAUGAAGCUCAAGUUUGACAAAUAUUGGGGUGACAUUGAAAAGGUGAACUCUAUUCUCUUUGUAGCCCAAGCACUCGGCCCGAGGUAGAAAUUUGAAAUGUUGGAGACAAAUCUAGAAGAGCUCAGCUAUGGAUGGGACAAAAUAAGGGAGGAGAAAGCAAGGGUUAAAAGCCAUGUAACCGACUUGUAUAAUGCAUAUAAGGAGGGAGUGGUCCUUAGUAGUUGUGGUACUAGUAGUAGUGCUACUUCAAAUGUGGAGCAAAGAUAUGAUGGGGGGGGUGUGGUAGAUAUUGAUGUUGCUAAAAGGAUGACAAAGAAGAUCCAACAAAAGAGGGAGCGGCACAACAAAAUGAGAUAGCCAAUGAAGUGGAUAUAUACUUCAAUGAUCCACAUCAAAGCCUUAACAUAUGAAAGUUUCAAUCUUUUGGAUUGGUGGAAAGGAAAUAGUGGUACAUAUCCAACUCUUAGUAAAGUUACUAAUGAUGUAUUUGUUCUUCCUAGUAGCACCGUUGCUAGUGAGAAUGCCUUUAGUCUUGGUGGGAGAGUUGCUGAUCCUUUUAGAGCUUUCUUAACACCUAAAACGGUUGAGGUUUUAGUGUGUGCUAGUGAUUGGCUUAGAGGAUGAAUUUUAUUUCUACAAGGAACCUAGACCCGACGAAUUCAAUUUCUACAAGGAACUUGAACGCUUAGAAAAAAGUAAGUAAAUAAUUUAAUUUCCUCUUUUAUUUUCUUAGUAUUUGUUAUCUAUUUCUAUAAUUCAAUCUAAAUGAUAUACGGUUUAUUGUUUUAGGCACGGCUAAUUUGGGAGGUGAGGAGAAUACAACACAAGGAAAUGAAAUGCCACCUCCACCUCCUCAACCACCUCAAGUUGAAGUUCAACAACGUCAAAAUCAAUCACUACCUCCACGAGCACCCAUUUUAAGGGGAAGGGCUCAACGAUCAACAUCAAGGGGAAGAGUACCAACAAGAAGGGGAAAGGGUCAACAAUCAACAACAAUAAGCAUGGCAAGGGAGCAACCACAACCAUCAACAAGAUCAAGGAGCCGAAGAGGCCAACAAUCUUCAUAAACUUUAAGCUUUUCUUUUCGUUUUUGGUUUGUAACUUAAUUUAUUUUGAAACUUUGGCUUGUAACUAAUUUUUUUUUUUGCUUUUGAGUUUGUUACUUAAUUUAUUUUUGUUGCAUGCAUGUGUAGUAGAAUACAUUUGAAGAACAAUUCAUAAUUUCAUAUUUCAAUUAGGCUAUAAAUCUAUGAUUGCACAUAUUGGUAUGUAUGAAGUAAAAGGCACAAAAUAGAUUGUUUGGCGGCUCAAAAUAGAUUGCACAAACUGACAUAUGACAUAUUUGUAUGUAUGACAUUGAAAUUGUCACAAUUUCAAUAUAAAAGGCUAAAUUUUAGUCCAAAAGUCCAAUAUGUCCAGUUUCAGCCUAAUAGCCCAAAAGCCCAAAAUCAAAAUUUAAUCCCGAUUUAUCCUGAAAUCCUGAAAAUUUGGUUUGAGAUUGGUCUUGAAAUUGCCUUCCCGAAAAAUUUCGGUUUAGAAUUUGGGAUAGUACUUUCGGUACCGAACCAGUCCUACUUUAAAUUAAAAUCCCAUUUGCGCUCACUCGUUCGUGAAAACCCAUCCCUAUCGAUGAAAACGCAUCCCUUCUUAUCUUUGCUCAAAGUGUGUCGGCUGAACAUUGCAGCAAGCAUGGAGUCGGGUUGACGCUGAGUUAGAGUACCGACGGUGGUGCAAAACUUCUUUCCUCCCACAUUGAGGUGAACCAAGGAUGAAGAAUCGUAGACCUCUGGCAUUGCUU